RNAcentral lists this ribosomal RNA (443 nucleotides) under uncultured bacterium. RNAcentral's name for it is "partial 16S ribosomal RNA". It matches the Rfam family "Bacterial small subunit ribosomal RNA", at positions 338 to 795 of the family's 1533-position model. The record is from RNAcentral.
CCUACGGGAGGCAGCAGUGGGGAAUAUUGCACAAUGGGCGAAAGCCUGAUGCCGCAACGCCGCGUGAAGGAAGAAGGGUUUCGGCUCGUAAACUUCUAUCAACAGUGACGAAAGAAAUGACGGUACCUGAAUAAGAAGCCCCGCCUAACUACGUGCCCGCAGCCGCAGUAAUACGUAGGGGGCAAGCGUUAUCCGUGAUUACUGGGUGUAAAGGGUGAUUAGGCGGCAUUGUAAGCCAGAUGUGAAAGCAUUGGGCUUAAACCGAGGAAUGCAUUUGACACUAUCAAGCGAGAGUACAGGAGAGGAAAGCGGAAUUCGUAGUGUAGCGGUGAAAUGCGUAGAUAUUAGGAAGAACACCAGUGGCGAAGGCGGAUUUCUGGACUGAAACUGACGCUGAGGCACGAAAGCGUGGGGAGCGAACAGGAUUAGAUACCCGGGUAGUC